Tympanuchus pallidicinctus (lesser prairie-chicken) is the source of this 495-nucleotide long non-coding RNA. RefSeq lists it as uncharacterized. NCBI's taxonomy places the organism in Eukaryota, Metazoa, Chordata, Aves, Galliformes, Phasianidae. The record is from RefSeq and is a predicted model, not a curated record. The transcript has 3 exons.
AUGUUAGGUGUUAGCAUACCAGCUAUUCUUGAGAAAGAAGAAAAUCUUGCAGAAAGACUUGAAAAGCCACAAGGAAGACAGAAACCAAACCAGAAAGUACAGGAGACUGUUAGACAAAACAAACCAGAACUCAGAAGAUGGAAAACAGAAUGUGUGAAUGAGGCUACAGGGUGAAAGACAUAGCUGAGGCUAUGAAGAAUCCAGUAUGCUCUUCUAGUUUUAUGCAUUUUGGGCAUAGUUCACCAGAUCAUGUAAAAACCAAAUAAGGAACUGCAAUAAGAGGGGAAGUUGUAUAGAAUGAGAAGACAUUUUUUCAGAGCGCAAGAGAAAAAUGACAUGGACAAUUACUGGCAACAGCAGUUCAACUUCUGUCAGAAGACUUCAAGACUCUUUUCUUCAGAAAACUUAACUAAAGACGUAGAGAAAGGAAAAAGGAAUGUAUAACCUCAAACACAUCAAAUGGUCACUAACAUGGAAAGGCACAAGAAAAGACAG